GACGACGCUGGCGGCGUGCUUCACACAUGCCGGUCGAACGGAAAGGCCCUGCUUUUGUGGGGUGCUCGAGUGGCGAACGGGUGAGUAACACGUGAGUAACCUGCCCUUGACUUUGGGAUAACUUCAGGAAACUGGGGCUAAUACCGGAUAGGAGCUCCUGCUGCAUGGUGGGGGUUGGAAAGUUUCGGCGGUUGGGGAUGGACUCGCGGCUUAUCAGCUUGUUGGUGGGGUAGUGGCUUACCAAGGCUUUGACGGGUAGCCGGCCUGAGAGGGUGACCGGCCACAUUGGGACUGAGAUACGGCCCAGACUCCUACGGGAGGCAGCAGUGGGGAAUAUUGCACAAUGGGCGGAAGCCUGAUGCAGCAACGCCGCGUGCGGGAUGACGGCCUUCGGGUUGUAAACCGCUUUCGCCUGUGACGAAGCGUGAGUGACGGUAAUGGGUAAAGAAGCACCGGCUAACUACGUG
Molecule: ribosomal RNA, 467 nt
Filed under: uncultured bacterium
Lineage: Bacteria
Description: partial 16S ribosomal RNA
Rfam family: Bacterial small subunit ribosomal RNA
Source: RNAcentral